AUUGAACGCUGGCGGCAGGCCUAACACAUGCAAGUCGAGCGGAUGAAGGGAGCUUGCUCCUGGAUUCAGCGGCGGACGGGUGAGUAAUGCCUAGGAAUCUGCCUGGUAGUGGGGGAUAACGUCCGGAAACGGGCGCUAAUACCGCAUACGUCCUGAGGGAGAAAGUGGGGGAUCUUCGGACCUCACGCUAUCAGAUGAGCCUAGGUCGGAUUAGCUAGUUGGUGGGGUAAAGGCCUACCAAGGCGACGAUCCGUAACUGGUCUGAGAGGAUGAUCAGUCACACUGGAACUGAGACACGGUCCAGACUCCUACGGGCGGCAGCAGUGGGGAAUAUUGGACGAUGGGCGAAAGCCUGAUCCAGCCAUGCCGCGUGUGUGAAGAAGGUCUUCGGAUUGUAAAGCACUUUAAGUUGGGAGGAAGGGCAGUAAGUUAAUACCUUGCUGUUUUGACGUUACCAACAGAAUAAGCACCGGCUAACUUCGUG
Molecule: ribosomal RNA, 484 nt
Filed under: uncultured bacterium
Lineage: Bacteria
Description: partial 16S ribosomal RNA
Rfam family: Bacterial small subunit ribosomal RNA
Source: RNAcentral